RNAcentral lists this ribosomal RNA (347 nucleotides) under uncultured bacterium. Its description in RNAcentral is "bacterial SSU rRNA". It matches the Rfam family "Bacterial small subunit ribosomal RNA", at positions 355 to 719 of the family's 1533-position model. The record is from RNAcentral.
UCGGGAAUUUUGCUCAAUGGGCGCAAGCCUGAAGCAGCAACGCCGCGUGAGGGAUGAAGGCCUUCGGGUUGUAAACCUCUUUUCUCAGGGACGAUGAUGACGGUACCUGAGGAAUAAGUCACGGCUAACUACGUGCCAGCAGCCGCGGUAAUACGUAGGUGACCAGCGUUGUCCGGAUUUACUGGGCGUAAAGAGCGCGCAGGCGGUCGUUCAAGUCGGGUGUGAAAGCCCCCGGCUCAACUGGGGAGGGUCACUCGAUACUGAUCGACUUGAAGGCAGGAGAGGGAAGCGGAAUUCCCGGUGUAGUGGUAAAAUGCGUAGAUAUCGGGAGGAACACCAGUGGCGAA